This 523-nucleotide ribosomal RNA is filed under the name uncultured bacterium. RNAcentral's name for it is "bacterial SSU rRNA". It matches the Rfam family "Bacterial small subunit ribosomal RNA", at positions 28 to 524 of the family's 1533-position model. The record is from RNAcentral.
AAUGAACGCUGGCGGCGUGCUUAACACAUGCAAGUCGAGCGAGGCGGAAGGGGGCAACUCCUUCCAGUCGAGCGGCGGACGGGUGAGUAACACGUGGGUAACCUGCCCGGAAGUGGGGAAUACCUCGGGGAAACUCGAGCUAAUACCGCAUGACAUCUUUCGGGACGAAAGUCCUGGUGAUCAAAGCGGGGGUCGCAAGAUCUCGCGCUACCGGAUGGGCCCGCGCCCGAUUAGCUAGUUGGUGAGGUAACGGCUCACCAAGGCUUCGAUCGGUAACCGGCCUGAGAGGGCGAUCGGUCACACCGGAACUGAGACACGGUCCGGGACUCCUACGGGAGGCAGCAGUGGGGAAUCUUGCGCAAUGGCGAAAGCCUGACGCAGCAAACGCCGCGUGGAGGAUGAAGGCCCUUGGGUUGUAAACUCCUGUCGGCUGGGAAGAAAUCGUUCGGGGUUAAUACCCUCGGACGUUGACUGUACCAGCAAAGGAAGCCCCGGCUAACUCUGUGCCAGCAGCCGCCGUAAU